UGCACUCACUACUGUAAGUCACUCUGGAUAAGAGUGUCUGCUAAAUGACUAAAA
Non-coding RNA from Salmo salar (Atlantic salmon), 54 nucleotides. The record is from Rfam. Lineage: Eukaryota; Metazoa; Chordata; Actinopteri; Salmoniformes; Salmonidae.